AUCUUCUUAGUAUAACUAGUACCACUGACUUCCAAUCAGUAAGAUCCGAAUCAACAACGGAAGAAGAUA
Molecule: transfer RNA, 69 nt
Filed under: Proechimys cuvieri (Cuvier's spiny rat)
Lineage: Eukaryota; Metazoa; Chordata; Mammalia; Rodentia; Echimyidae
Description: tRNA-Gly
Source: RNAcentral